AACGCACCUUGCGCUCCUUGGUAUUCCGAGGAGCAUGCCUGUUUGAGUGUCAUGAAAUUCUCAACCUAACAAGUUUGUAACGAGCUUGCUUAGGCUUGGACUUGGAGGCUUUGCCGGCUUGCAUCUGCAUAGUCGACUCCUCUUAAAUGCAUUAGCUUGGUUCCUCUGCGGAUCGGCUCACGGUGUGAUAAUUGUCUACGCCGCGACCGUUGAAGCGUUUUAUAGGCCAGCUUCUAAUCGUCUUCUUAUGCGAGACAAUUACUUCGAACUCUGACCUCAAAUCAGGCAGGACUACCCGCUGAACUUAA
This 308-nucleotide unclassified non-coding RNA is filed under the name uncultured Polyporales. RNAcentral describes it as "sequence contains 5.8S rRNA gene, ITS2, 28S rRNA gene". The stretch from base 1 to 52 matches the Rfam family "5.8S ribosomal RNA", at positions 103 to 154 of the family's 154-position model. The record is from RNAcentral. Lineage: Eukaryota; Fungi; Basidiomycota; Agaricomycetes; Polyporales.